RNAcentral lists this long non-coding RNA (618 nucleotides) under Callithrix jacchus (white-tufted-ear marmoset). RNAcentral describes it as "lncRNA (ENSCJAG00000083827.1)". The record is from RNAcentral. Lineage: Eukaryota; Metazoa; Chordata; Mammalia; Primates; Cebidae.
CAUCAUUUCAGGAUGAGCAUUUCGUGUCAAGUGGAUUCAAGGAACAGUGUAAAGGAUCCAUGGCCUCAGUCACCAUGAAGACCCUCCCAAGAGCCAACCGUCCUGGGCCCAUAUAAAUGAAUGGAGACAUGGAAGUCACCCUUACAAGGCCUAGAACCUGACAGAGCAUACAAGACAGAAGCCCAAAUAACUAAGAACAGGAAGCUAAAGUCCCCUUGUAGGUCACUCAUGGGGAAUUGCCUAGACCCUGGGUCUUGUACCUCGUGCCAGCAGGGAGUGGCGCCGUCUUGUGAAUGUGAGACUCAGUCUGCGGCAGCUGCAGCACCAGCAUCCACCACUGCAGAGCCUGCCGUGUUACAUCCAGGAGUGGCGCAGGUCCAGCAUGUGCAGCCCAUCAAGUCAAAGCGGCGCAAAGGUUUGGCUGGCCGCAUCAGGAGCCGGGUACGAAAAAAAUGGAAGUGUAAGAAAAUUUGCCCCAUUGUAAAUGAAGGUAGGGUGGAAAUUAUAUCAUUAAGUUUAUUGAAGCAAAUAAUUUGUUUACUCAUCCAGUUUACAAACUCAGUAAAUGCUAUGUCAUUUAAUGAAUUAAAUCAAUGGAUGAUGCAACUACACAAGUAA